RNAcentral lists this unclassified non-coding RNA (200 nucleotides) under soil metagenome. RNAcentral's name for it is "partial contains internal transcribed spacer 2 and large subunit ribosomal RNA". The record is from RNAcentral.
UGUUGCUGGCUCUUCGGAGCGAAGCUCGUUCGUAAUACAUUAGCAUUUCUAAUUCGAAUUCGGAUUGACUCAGUGUAAUAGACUAUUCGCUGAGGACACUUUUUCGAAAGUGGCCGUAUUCAAUACAAGAGAAGCUUCUAACCCCUCUAGUCAUUUUUGAUUUAGACCUCAAAUCAGGUAGGAUUACCCGCUGAACUUAA